AACAAAGGCGUGGAAAUUUUUCAAUAAAUUACCAACUAUCAUACAGGAAAGUAUAUACAAACCAACGUUCUAUAAGCUGGCCACAAGGCAUUUAAUGGCAAAAUGCCCAUAUUCUGUCAACGAAUUUUUGAAUGUCCAUGAAUGAAUACUUAAUUACCUUAAGACGAAUUAAAUGUAAAUAUAUGUUUAUAUUAGUUUCUAUAUUUAGAAAAUGACGUUUUUGUGAAGCCAAAUGUGCAAAAAGCAAAAGAAUAAAUAAAAUAAAAAAAUAAAAAAUAAAAAAUUCCUCACAUCGUCGCAAUGUUUACAAGCGUAGGUUCAGUUGCAUUAUGUAAAUACUUUCUUAAAAACCAGAGGGAUUUCUUCGUGAAUCGAUGGAAAUGAGUGCUAACUAUGUGAUAUUGGACUUGAGAUUCAGUUCGUAUUAUUUUUCGACGCCGAUCGGUCUUGUGGUACGCAGGAGAACAGCCCUGUUGCUAAGUGAAGUGUCAGUGAUGGUGCAGAUUUUGUGAAAAUCGCCAGCUAAUCAUUAAGUAUGUACCUGGAACCUGGAAUUUUUCUGCUCACUGUGCCAGAAAGUGAAAACUACUGCUUUGACUUGGAAUUUUCUGGAGGUUCAUGGGUGGAAAAGUUUGUCGAUUUCAGAUGUUCAGCAGCAGAAAUUGAGCAGUCCGGGUAGCACAAUCGAGUAGAGAGCGAUCAUGAAGGCAAGCAUCCAAAGUAAAUUGGCACUCGAGGAGACUCGCCAAGCUGUCAAGAGAAAGGGAGGAAGAACAAGGAAGAAAGCUGAAAAAGAAGGUGAUUAACAUUUCUCACCCCCCCCCCUCCAUAAUCCUUAAGGGCACUUAAACUCCUAGGUUGUUUUUUUUCCGAGGGGGAAAAAAGAAGGAAAAAAGUAGAAAGAGAAACUCAUAUUGUACCUAGAGUGAAUGCUGAAACUA
RNAcentral lists this long non-coding RNA (941 nucleotides) under Bemisia tabaci. RNAcentral's name for it is "lncRNA ENSSSA2NGG010416". Lineage: Eukaryota; Metazoa; Arthropoda; Insecta; Hemiptera; Aleyrodidae. The record is from RNAcentral.